This 67-nucleotide transfer RNA is filed under the name Homoeoxipha nigripes. Its description in RNAcentral is "tRNA-Ser". Lineage: Eukaryota; Metazoa; Arthropoda; Insecta; Orthoptera; Trigonidiidae. The record is from RNAcentral.
AGAACAAAAAGUUAUAAGAAUUAGCUUCUAACUAAUUAUUAAGCGGUUCAAUUCCGUUAUUGUUUUG